RNAcentral lists this ribosomal RNA (258 nucleotides) under uncultured bacterium. RNAcentral's name for it is "partial 16S ribosomal RNA". It matches the Rfam family "Bacterial small subunit ribosomal RNA", at positions 99 to 353 of the family's 1533-position model. The record is from RNAcentral.
CGAACGGGUGAGUAACGCGUGAGUAACCUGCCCUGGAGUGGGGGACAACAGUUGGAAACGACUGCUAAUACCGCAUAAGCCCACGGAUCCGCAUGGAUCUGCGGGAAAAGGAUUUAUUUGCUUCAGGAUGGACUCGCGUCCAAUUAGCUAGUUGGUGAGGUAACGGCCCACCAAGGCGACGAUUGGUAGCCGGACUGAGAGGUUGAACGGCCACAUUGGGACUGAGACACGGCCCAGACUCCUACGGGAGGCAGCAUG